This 91-nucleotide non-coding RNA is filed under the name uncultured Dialister sp. RNAcentral describes it as "Glycine riboswitch". It matches the Rfam family "Glycine riboswitch aptamer", at positions 9 to 86 of the family's 94-position model. From Rfam's summary of the family: This family represents the bacterial glycine riboswitch. Glycine riboswitches usually consist of two metabolite-binding aptamers domains with similar structures in tandem. The record is from RNAcentral. Lineage: Bacteria; Bacillati; Bacillota; Negativicutes; Veillonellales; Veillonellaceae.
ACACUCUGGAGAGUCCCGCGGGUUUUCCCGGCGGGCGCCGAAGGUGUAAGGACGUAAGUCCCAAUCUCUCAGGCAAAAGGACAGAGCAUAA